This 250-nucleotide ribosomal RNA is filed under the name uncultured bacterium. RNAcentral's name for it is "partial 16S ribosomal RNA". It matches the Rfam family "Bacterial small subunit ribosomal RNA", at positions 355 to 597 of the family's 1533-position model. The record is from RNAcentral.
UGGGGAAUAUUGCACAAUGGGCGCAAGCCUGAUGCAGCCAUGCCGCGUGUAUGAAGAAGGCCUUCGGGUUGUAAAGUACUUUCAGCGGGGAGGAAGGGAGUAAAGUUAAUACCUUUGCUCAUUGACGUUACCCGCAGAAGAAGCACCGGCUAACUCCGUGCCAGCAGCCGCGGUAAUACGGAGGGUGCAAGCGUUAAUCGGAAUUACUGGGCGUAAAGCGCACGCAGGCGGUUUGUUAAGUCAGAUGUGA